AACUUACAAUUGUUACAAGAUAUCACAUUAUUUUUACAUCCAAUUACAUUAUUUUUACAUGCAAUUGCCCAUUAUACAGUUGGGUUUUUACUGGAGCAAUCUAGGUAAAGUACCUUGCUCAAGAGUACAGCAACAGUGUCCCCAACCGGGGAUUGAACCCACGACCCUACAGUCAAGAGUCCAGAGCCCUAACCACUACUCCACACUGCUGCCCUAGCCACACAAGUGUUUAAAUAAACACUCCCUUUAGUUAAAAUGCCUAGCCAGGUAACUUCUUAAUUAUUGUAUCUAUUUAAUUAAGGAUUCCCCUUUAAGAAGGCUGAACUCCCAUGAGCCUUUGUUCUUUUUUAAACAGGUAGAGGGUGGAAGGGAGGCAGGUUUUGUGUUCUGGGUUCCUCCAUUUUGUGUAUGGCGGUGUGGUUUGUGUGCAGGUUCUGAAUGGGUUCCAGUUGGCUUUCAGGAUUUUAUUUACAAGGAAAUUAUAUUCAAGAAGAACUAUACCUACCUUGGAGCAUCUCUUGGACAACUUGUUGCUGUUGGACUGCCACUGGAACUACAGAAUAAGCAUCAACAAACAAACAAACAAACAGUCGGGUCUGUGAGGAUGAGAAGGUCUCCACAGUCUGGAGUCUGGUCUCUGACAGGCUCAACAUACCUGUCAAUCAACAGGGACUCCUCUGCAAAGGCAAGGCGCUGGCAGGUAGGCUGAACAGCACAGCACAGCACAGCACAGCUCACCCCUCCUCUCACCCCUCGCCUCAUCCCUCCUCUCACUCCUCGCCUCACCCCGGGUCAGUGUGGCACAGCCUGCCUGCUCUUCUGAACAAACACUUCAGCCCUGCCGACGCAGUGAGAGUCUGGAGCAGCAACACAAGGUAACCUGAACACAAACACACACACACACACAGACACACACAAACACACACACAGUGAGAGGCUGGAGCAGCUACACAAGGUAAAUUGAACACAAUAAACACGGCUACACACACAAUCCUAGCUGCAGCAGAUGUACAAUGUUAUACAGACACACACAGACACAGCUGUACAGUGACACAGAGACGCACACACAAUCACAGCUGCAGCAUACACACUCUGAAAUGCAGGUGUAGAGCAGCGUGUAGUUGUGACUCUGUGUCUCUCUCCUCCCCCUCUCCUCUCCUCUCCUUACUUUGUUUAAAAGAAUAGAAGCACACCCAGUGAGCAAGGCAUUGAGCAGCCCCACAUCCCGCUUCACAAUACCGCUACAUAUUGACUGACUGUUCGCAUUGUGUGUGUUUGGUAAGACAAACCACAUUUUCUACUUCUACUUUCUACGAUUGGGCAAGUCAGCGGUUGUUUGAUAACAGAACAUAAAACAUUACAGAGCGGGUUGAACUGCAUUGCUGCAAAUCAAGGCCCUUUAAAAUGUGUACCUUCCCAGCUCAGGUAUUGCUGAGGUAAAGAGACACUUCCUACAGGAGGACAGGACGUUGUCAAGGAGGGGAUGUCGUCACGUGUCCUGAGGGCUUUCUUAAAAACAUUGUUUUAUUAUUUCUAAGCGUACGUUGUUAUUGCCUUUUAGCUCUUGAGCAUAAUAAUCUCAAUCCCGUUUGAAAUUUGCAUGGUGGCAGAUGAGGGAUGUCACUUCACUCGAGGCGUGCGUACUGAUGAAGAUGUAGUUUCAGUGUUUAAUGCUCAUCCCCUCAGUGUGUCUGUGUGUGUCUGUGUGUGUGUGUGUGUGUGUGUUUGUGUGUUCUUGUCUCGCCUGUCCUGUGAGGAUGAAGAUGUAGUUUCAGUGUUUAAUGCUCAUCCCCUCACUGUGUGUCUGUGUGUUCUUGUCUCUUGACAGGUCUGUGAGGAUGAGAAGGUCUCCACAGUCUGGAGUCUGAUCUCUGACAGCCUCAACAUACCUGUCAAUCAACAGGGACUCCUCUACAAAGGCAAGGCGCUGGCAGGUAGGCUGAACAGCACAGCACAGCACAGCACAGCACAGCUCACCCCUCCUCUCACCCCUCGCCUCAUCCCUCCUCUCACUCCUCGCCUCACCCCGGGUCAGUGUGGCACAGCCUGCCUGCUCUUCUAAACAAACACUUCAGCCCUGCCGACGCAGUGAGAGUCUGGAGCAGCAACACGAGGUGAUGAAGUGACACUUUGAAUAUGGGGCCUGAUGAGAGAAGUAUCCUUUUCAUGUGGUUUUGGUUUUGCUGUUGUGAGCAGGUAUGGGAGACAGCACCGUGUCUGCAUGUGAAAUAACAAAGUCAUCGCAGUGGAGGGACUCUCUUAAGGCUGCUGUUUGUGGAUUUGUCUUGUAAUGUGAGUGAUCUACUGUACUGUGAUGCCACUGGCUGUACGCACGCUGCACUGCAGGGGAGAGACCGCUGGCAUUCACAGGGCAUGCUUGUUCAUUUAAAGCACGCUGCACUGUAGGGGAGACACCGCUGGCAUUCACAGGGCAUGCUUGUUCAUUUAAAGCAUGCUGCUGUGGGAUGUUUGCACAGUGAUCUUGUAUCUUAUUUUCAGGUGAAGUUUUGAAUGCAUCAAGUUGGAAGACUUGGCUUAAGAUAAUGAACUCCACUUUUCAUAAUGUAAAUAGUUUAGUUUGCAUGAUUUGAUAAUACAGGUGGAUUUAAUUAGACAACAAAACCACCCAUUACUCCAUAAACAAUGACUUGAACAUUCAUUAUCCUGUCUGACCAUGUUUCAGGAGACCUCUAGUGGUCAAGAUGCACCAUGUGAGGGAAUAAUGCUAUUUUUAUUCUCAAACCUCCCUUGAAUUACUUUACCACAACAUCUGCACACACACA
Long non-coding RNA from Acipenser ruthenus (sterlet), 2783 nucleotides. RefSeq lists it as uncharacterized. NCBI's taxonomy places the organism in Eukaryota, Metazoa, Chordata, Actinopteri, Acipenseriformes, Acipenseridae. The transcript has 3 exons. The record is from RefSeq and is a predicted model, not a curated record.